GACGAACGCUGGCGGCGUGCUUAACACAUGCAAGUCGAACGCUGAAGCUCAGCUUUUGUUGGGUGGAUGAGUGGCGAACGGGUGAGUAACACGUGAGUAACCUGCCCCCUUCUUUGGGAUAACGCCCGGAAACGGGUGCUAAUACUGGAUAUUCACUGGUCUUCGCAUGGGGGUUGGUGGAAAGGGUUUUUCUGGUGGGGGAUGGGCUCGCGGCCUAUCAGCUUGUUGGUGGGGUGAUGGCCUACCAAGGCUUUGACGGGUAGCCGGCCUGAGAGGGUGACCGGUCACAUUGGGACUGAGAUACGGCCCAGACUACUACGGGAGGCAGCAGUGGGGAAAAUUGCACAAUGGGCGCAAGACUGAUGCAGCGACGCCGCGUGAGGGAUGGAGGCCUGCGGGUUGUGAACCUCUUUCGCUCAUGGUCAAGCCGCAACAAUGGUUGUGGUGAGGGUAGUGGGUAAAGAAGCGCCGGCUAACUACGUG
This 483-nucleotide ribosomal RNA is filed under the name uncultured bacterium. Its description in RNAcentral is "partial 16S ribosomal RNA". It matches the Rfam family "Bacterial small subunit ribosomal RNA", at positions 28 to 507 of the family's 1533-position model. The record is from RNAcentral.